GCUCCGGUGGCUUCGUGGUUAGAGCGUCCGCCUCGGAUGCCGAAGGUCGUUGGUUCGUUCUCCGGGUUACUGGAUAUUAAGCA
Potamilus streckersoni is the source of this 83-nucleotide non-coding RNA. The record is from the annotation of a GenBank genome assembly. Lineage: Eukaryota; Metazoa; Mollusca; Bivalvia; Unionida; Unionidae.